AUCUCUGGUCAUACCACCCGGAAUGUGCCUGAUCUCAUCUGAUCUCAGAAGCUAAACAUGGUCAGGCCUGGUUAGUUUUUGGAUGGGAAUCCUAAGGCUGUUGUAUUUCAAAGCCUAUGAGCUAACGAUU
RNAcentral lists this ribosomal RNA (130 nucleotides) under Jaculus jaculus (lesser Egyptian jerboa). Lineage: Eukaryota; Metazoa; Chordata; Mammalia; Rodentia; Dipodidae. The record is from RNAcentral.